This 428-nucleotide ribosomal RNA is filed under the name uncultured soil bacterium. Its description in RNAcentral is "bacterial SSU rRNA". It matches the Rfam family "Bacterial small subunit ribosomal RNA", at positions 26 to 455 of the family's 1533-position model. The record is from RNAcentral.
AGCCUGAACGCUGGCGGCGUGGCUAAGACAUGCAAGUCGAACGGGGGUAGCAAUACCCCAGUGGCGGACGGGUGAGUAAUGUAUCGCUAACGUGCCCCGGAGCCUGGGAUAGCCUUCCGAAAGGGAGGGUAAUACCAGAUGACAUGACCUGGUUGCAUGACCGGGUCCUCAAAGCAGCAAUGCACUCUGGGGAGCGGGGCAGUACUACGGUAUCAAGUCGUAGUUGGCGGGGUAACGCCCACCAAGGCGACGACGCGAGCCGGACUGAGAGGUUGGCCGGCACAUUGGGACUGAGACACUGCCCAGACUCCUACGGGGGCUGCAGUAACGAUCUCGCAAUGACACGCAAGUGUGACGGAGCGACGCCGCGUAGUGGACGAAGCCCGUUACGGGGUAGUAAACCACUGUCCGAGGGGCAGCCAAGUUCC